GAUUGAGGUGGUAUACCUGUCAAACAGCAACACAGAUGUCCUAAGGUGAACUCAGAGAGGACAGAAACCUCCCAUGGCAAAAGAGCAAAAGCUUGAUCUUGAUUUCAGUAUGAAUACAGACUGUGAAAAAAGAG
This 134-nucleotide non-coding RNA is filed under the name Neotoma lepida (desert woodrat). RNAcentral describes it as "Eukaryotic large subunit ribosomal RNA". It matches the Rfam family "Eukaryotic large subunit ribosomal RNA", at positions 2623 to 2763 of the family's 3401-position model. The record is from Rfam by way of RNAcentral. Lineage: Eukaryota; Metazoa; Chordata; Mammalia; Rodentia; Cricetidae.